AGAUUUGAGGGUGAUCUGCCUAUGACAUCUGCCAACCCAUUGACUAUCAGGGUUGAUUCAACUAUUCUGGCUGGCUAGGUGGUAUCUCUUCUCCCUCACUGUUCACGUACACUUCCCAAAGCUUUGUCCUCGGACCCCAAGUAUGGCAGUCCCCAAGAAGAAACGUACCAUUCGAAGGUAUAGGAAUAGCGCUCCCCAGCUGGGAGCUCCGAAUACNNNNNNN
This 223-nucleotide small RNA is filed under the name Sorex araneus (European shrew). RNAcentral describes it as "7SK RNA (ENSSARG00000019131.1)". It matches the Rfam family "7SK RNA", at positions 1 to 238 of the family's 331-position model. Rfam says of the family: 7SK was discovered as an abundant small nuclear RNA in the mid-70s but a possible function has only recently been suggested. The record is from RNAcentral. Lineage: Eukaryota; Metazoa; Chordata; Mammalia; Eulipotyphla; Soricidae.